GCACUCGUAGCUCAGUCUGGACAGAGCAAUUGCCUUCGAAGCAAAAGGUCGUAGGUUCGAAUCCUACCGGGUGUA
RNAcentral lists this transfer RNA (75 nucleotides) under Candidatus Pacearchaeota archaeon. RNAcentral's name for it is "tRNA-Arg". It matches the Rfam family "tRNA". From Rfam's summary of the family: Transfer RNA (tRNA) molecules are approximately 80 nucleotides in length. The record is from RNAcentral. Lineage: Archaea; Nanobdellati.